CGCCCACCGGGUCCGCCCCCACGCGGCCGCCUGCACAGGGGGUUCCAGCCACCCGCGCUCUCCCAGGUUUGCCGACCUUACGGGCCCUUCUCCGCCAGCCCUGGCUGGGUCACCCCCACGACCCGGGACUCCCCCGCCGUUCCCUCCCGGGCUGCCUGCAGUGAGGUCCGCUCCUGAGGCCUCAGCCUCGCCGGGGGUAGGGCCCUCUCCCGCCGUCGCCGCAGCUCCUUUCCGUCCCGGGGCCUGGGGGGCACCGUCCCACGGGUGAGGGCCGCCUCCAGCGCCUGGCCCAGCCAUGCGAACGCCUGGAGCCCGCGAGCUGCAGCUGCGGCCCUGAAGGUGCCGCAUAUCCUGCCGAGUGGGUGAAGCGUGGCACUUUGGAAAACAAAUCGGGAAUGAAGGAAAACAGGCAAUAAGGCAAGAAUCGCUGUCGAAGGAGUCUGCGCCACCUGCUCGCACAGCUCACUUGUGCCUUCUGAGCCUGCUGGAGCCCAGUGUACAUAUGCCGUCUCCGCGUGAUUAGAGAUUGCUGCUGCACGUGCCCAAUCCCGUGGCGGGGCUGGAACACAAACGGGGUGGUGUUCCAGCUGCAACCAUGCAGAUGAAGACUAUACCCUAGGAGAUGGAGGAACAACAGACAAGAAAGAAACCUGGGUUCCUGAAUAACCACGUGGAGCCAAGCAGCUUACUUAUCUCAAGCCACUGUUGCCCACCUCCAGAUUGGUUCGUGAGAUAGAAAUAAGCUUCUAUCCUUUUUGCAUGACUGCAUUUUGGGGUCUGUGUUAUAGCAGCUUAAUCUCUAUCUGAAUUAUAUUGGAUUUAAGUGUCUGAAGCCCAAUGACUUAACCUUUCCUGAGGCAAAGGCACAGAAGAGCCUAUUUUCCAAAAAUGGGAAAACGAAGACAUAGGAAGGAAAAACCCAACAAAUGGUCAGGAAAUUAUACUGCUAUAGGCUCUUCUCGGAUGAGUGUCUAGUCCUAAUGAGGGGGCUGUGGGAAUUCAAAGACGGAGAAACUGCCUUCAGAUAGAGCUAGUAGGGAAGACCCCUGCAGACAGUGACAUUAAAUUGAAGGUAGAAUUUGGAUAGAUGGACAUGGGGAGGGCAAUUCAAACAAAGGGAACUUGAGCAACAGGGUGGAGGUAGAAAGGUGCCAGAUCUUUUGGGAGAUGCAGAAGUGAUAUCACACAGUUUAAAGCCAGAGUUAAAUAUAAACCGAUACUUAGAAGCUUAAAUUCAACAUGGCAAAUUCACAGGUUUAGUUUCCUAAAAGAUUUUUCAUGUUUUUAUUACAGAACUGUCUGCAAACAAAUCUUUACUUGAUGAGAAGUUUAAAUAUAAUUAAAUCUAGAAUAUUACAUGAAUAUUUUAUUGCUUUAUUAA
This 1381-nucleotide long non-coding RNA is filed under the name Homo sapiens (human). Its description in RNAcentral is "HSALNT0298707". The record is from RNAcentral. Lineage: Eukaryota; Metazoa; Chordata; Mammalia; Primates; Hominidae.